Suricata suricatta (meerkat) is the source of this 618-nucleotide long non-coding RNA. RefSeq lists it as uncharacterized. The record is from RefSeq and is a predicted model, not a curated record. NCBI's taxonomy places the organism in Eukaryota, Metazoa, Chordata, Mammalia, Carnivora, Herpestidae. The transcript is spliced from 3 exons.
UUCUCUGCCUAUUGAUUCAGGGUCAUGAGGAUCUCGAAAUGGUCAAGGGGCAGUUCCAACUUCCAAUUCCUAAGAUGUAUUACCGCAUUCUCUGGUAGAACCGUUCCUCUCCUAGAAACAGGGUGCUCCAGACUGCCAAGUCCAAGAUCAGACACAGGUGGCAGCAAACAUUCCUCCAGUGAGAAAGGCCACUCCUCGUUAUGUUUUGGUUCCCAACCUGUGCAAUCUGGAAGACAGCACACUUGGCCAUUAGUAUAAAGCAUAUAUUGCCUCCUGCUUUGUAUUUCUCCGCCAUGUCAUGCUGGGAUUAAGCUCCAGUUACGGGCCAUGAAGAAUGAUGAGGGUGAGGUCUCAGGAACGUAGGGAUCAGCUUCUGGAAGAACUCCUCCUGGCUCGACCACUGACAGCUCUUAUGCAGAGAAGAAGAAACCAGGUGUCUCCACGAGUAUUGUUGCCAUCGGGCCAAAUGCCAAAGCCACUUGAUGUGCCAAUUGGCCUUUCAACCUGCACUGCAUCCCAUGCUACUGCUAAUGAUCAUCUGAGUCACAGGGACACUACCAGAUGCCAUGAACUCAUCCUCUGUGCCUCAGCCAGGAGACUGUCCGGGCACUGCUCAAA